This 301-nucleotide ribosomal RNA is filed under the name uncultured bacterium. Its description in RNAcentral is "partial 16S ribosomal RNA". It matches the Rfam family "Bacterial small subunit ribosomal RNA", at positions 509 to 807 of the family's 1533-position model. The record is from RNAcentral.
CAGUCGCCGCGGUAAUACGUAGGGUGCGAGCGUUAAUCGGAAUUACUGGGCGUAAAGCGUGCGCAGGCGGUUGUGUAAGACAGGUGUGAAAUCCCCGGGCUUAACCUGGGAACUGCGCUUGUGACUGCACAGCUAGAGUAUGGCAGAGGGGGGUGGAAUUCCACGUGUAGCAGUGAAGUGCGUAGAGAUGUGGAGGAACACCGAUGGCGAAGGCAGCCCCCUGGGCCAAUACUGACGCUCAUGCACGAAAGCGUGGGGAGCAAACAGGAUUAGAUACCCGAGUAGUCCCUGUCUCUUAUAC